Molecule: ribosomal RNA, 421 nt
Filed under: Boa constrictor constrictor
Lineage: Eukaryota; Metazoa; Chordata; Lepidosauria; Squamata; Boidae
Description: partial 12S ribosomal RNA
Source: RNAcentral
UAGAUACCCCACUAUGCCUAAAAGUAACAAGGCAACGAACCAACACAAGUUGCUCGCCAAACCACUACGAGUGAAAACUUAAAACUUAAAAGACUUGACGGUACUUCACCCAACCUAGAGGAGCCUGUCUAAUAACCGAUAACCCACGAUCAACCCAACCGCCACUAGCCACUCAGCCUAUAUACCGCCGUCGCCAGCCCACCUUGUGAAAGAAACCAAGUGGGCACAAUAGUCCCACACUAACACGACAGGUCGAGGUGUAGCUUAUGGGGCGGACAAAGAUGGGCUACAUUAUCUAAACCAGAUAAAACGGAAAAAGCCGUGAAAACCAAGCCUUAUGAAGGAGGAUUUAGUAGUAAGAUGAGGACAUAAUACUCAACUGAAAACAAAGAAAUGAAGUGCGUACACACCGCCCGUCACC